Molecule: ribosomal RNA, 642 nt
Filed under: soil fungal sp. DM2-063
Lineage: Eukaryota; Fungi
Description: eukaryotic LSU rRNA
Rfam family: Eukaryotic large subunit ribosomal RNA
Source: RNAcentral
ACGGCGAGUGAGCGGGAAGAGCUCAAAUUUAAAAUCUGGCUUGCUUGCAAGUCCGAGUUGUAGUCUGAAGAAACGUUUUCCAUGAAAGCUGAGGCACAAGUCCUUUGGAACAGGGCAUCAUAGAGGGUGAGAAUCCCGUCCAUGGUCUCAUGCAUUUCAUUUUGUGAUACGUUUUCUAAGAGUCAGGUUGUUUGGGAAUGCAGCCUAAAAUGGGUGGUAAAUUUCAUCUAAAGCUAAAUAUUGGCGAGAGACCGAUAGCGAACAAGUACCGUGAGGGAAAGAUGAAAAGAACUUUGAAAAGAGAGUUAAAAAGUACGUGAAAUUGUUGAAAGGGAACCGUUUGAAGCCAGUCUUGCUUACUUGUGAUCAAUCUUAGCUUCGGCUUGGAUGCACUCUCGAGUUAUGCAGGUCAACGUCAGUUUGAGAGGUGGGAAAAAAGUUUGAGGAAUGUGGCCUUCGGGUGUUAUAGCCUCUUACUAAAUACCAUCUCCUGGACUGAGGCUCGCAGCAAAAAUGUGGGUUGGUUUGCUCCUGAGGUGAAUCAUUAUUAAGACAGCUUGCUGACUUAGUUUUGUGGAUCUUCACGGUAGACCAGCUUCUAAUUUGCUUAGGUCGUUGACAUAAUGGCUUUAAAUGACCCGU